This 375-nucleotide ribosomal RNA is filed under the name uncultured eukaryote. Its description in RNAcentral is "partial 18S ribosomal RNA". It matches the Rfam family "Eukaryotic small subunit ribosomal RNA", at positions 592 to 976 of the family's 1831-position model. The record is from RNAcentral.
UAAUAGUGUAUAUUAAAGUUGUUGCAGUUAAAAAGCUCGUAGUUGAAUGUUGGUGUCGAACGAGCGGUCAGCUUCGGCUGUACUGCUCUCUCGACUCCUUCCUUCUGUGGACUACGUCGCACUUCACUGUGUGGCGCUAGGACGCAGAUCGUUUACUGUGAAAAAAUUAGAGUGUUCAAAGCAGGCCGUACGCUUGAAUACAUUAGCAUGGAAUAAUGGAAUAGGACGUCGGGCCUAUUUUGUUGGUUUCUAGAGCUGGGGUAAUGAUUAAUAGGGAUAGUUGGGGGCAUUCGUAUUUGGCAGUCAGAGGUGAAAUUCUUAGAUUUGCUGAAGAUGAACAACUGCGAAAGCAUUUACCAAGGAUGUUUUCAUUAA